This 8998-nucleotide long non-coding RNA is filed under the name Populus trichocarpa (black cottonwood). RNAcentral describes it as "long non-coding RNA (PTRI_LNC001045)". Lineage: Eukaryota; Viridiplantae; Streptophyta; Magnoliopsida; Malpighiales; Salicaceae. The record is from RNAcentral.
UUUCCCAUCUUCUAUUGCAACACUUCUUCUCCUAUUUCCAAUUAACAUGUUCAAUCAAAAGCCCCCAAUGGCGGAAGAUCUCCAAGAAUUGGUCCUCAACCUUCCCAGAGAGAAAAACCUUGAUGGCACGAAUUCUCUCUAUCUGUUCAAAGGGGCUUGGGUUUCAGCUUAUGUGUUAAGAGCUGUGGAUUCCUUUCAACGCCACUUCAUUGCUCAAGACACCGAUAUAAUAGUAGCUAGCAUGCCGAAAUCAGGCACUACUUGGCUCAAAGCCCUGACCUUUUCGGUUGCAAAACGCCACAUCUAUGACCCCAAAGAAAGUCCUUUACUCACCACUCCACCUCAUGAACUGGUACCUUUUACCGAUACUGGCCUUUACAUGGAAGACCCGCUCCCAAAUCUUGAACAACUUCCUCCUCCAAGAAUCUUCGGUUGUCACUCCCAUUUUGCAAAUUUGCCAGAAUCCAUUAGAAAUUCCAAGUGUAAAGUUGUGUACAUAUGCAGAAAUCCAUUGGACCAAGUUGUCUCUUACUUUCAGUUUGCACACCAGUUCAAACAAGAUGGCAAACCUUUAUUAUCACUAGAUGAAUGUUAUGAGAACAUUUGUCGUGGAGUCCAUGUUCUGGGCCCUUUUUGGGAUAAUGUGCUGGGGUAUUGGAAAGCAAGCUUAGAGAGACCAGACAAGGUGUUGUUCUUAAAAUAUGAAGACUUGAAGGAGGAUAUAAUCUCUAACUUGAAGAAAAUCGCUGGGUUCUUGGGAAUUCCUUUCACCGACGAAGAAGAAAAGGAAGGGGUUAUUGAAGAAAUAUCAAGGCUGUGCAGCUUCGACAAUCUCAGGAAUUUGGAAGUGAACAAAAAUGGUGUUCGUCCUUCUGGGGCUCCAAACAGCUCCUUCUUCAGGAAAGGAGAGGUGGGUGAUUGGGCAAAUUAUCUGAGUCCUUCCAUGGCUGAGAAUUACCUGAAGAUUGUGGAAGAGAAGUUGAGUGGAUCUGGUUUAACCUUCAAAACAUCUCAAUAAAGUGCAACGUUCUCCUUAAUUCCCUUGUGUUUUUGUGAGUGUCGAGAUCUAUUAUUGUUCAGUGAACCCUCCUUGCUGCUUUCUUAACUAAAAAUUAAGAUCUUGGAUCUGAAAACUUCAUGGAAUCUGACAUGGAUGCUAAUUAAACCUUCAUUGUUUUGCUUAAUUUUUAUUCCAAUGUCAGUUUUUACAAGGUUUUUUCUAAUAAUAACAAAAAAGGCUUUGUUUUUAUUAUCACUCCCGACCACAAGUUUCCAGUAAGAAGAUGAUAAAAGAUUGGUCUUUUGCUGUAUCUCUUUUGUUCUUGAACUAAGGAAAAUCUUGAAGGUUAUUUUGGUGCUUGUGUUUUUUUAACAGAGCAGGUAAAAGAAAAGGCGGGAGAUAAAAGUUGCUUCACCAGAAACCGAGGCCAGGCCUCACUUAUUGGCGGGUCCCUCGAACGACCCUUAAUCCAAUAAUGGAUGGGUACAUGAUCCAAUAAACCACCAAGCUGGUGUCCUAAAAACAGUCUUCUAGUCCCUGUAAUUUUAUAAGAAGCUGUUUCAGUACUUUUGUUUAAUGCAUUUAUAAUUAAGUCCUGAGAUUAUAAUUUCCUUUUAUCCUUAUGGUAAUUUGAUUUUCAGUUUAAUCUUUAUACCUGGAAAUAUCAUAAAAUAAUUCAUAGGCAUGAAAUCAAUAUUUGCUUAAAGCAGUUGUUUUAAUGUGCUGAUGUUAAAAAUAAAUUUUAAAAAAAUAUAAUUUUAAUAUAAUUUAAACAAAAAAUAUUUUAAAAAAACAACCAUUAAUCACAAAAAUAAAAUUGGCUGAGGUUAACAGGAACACAGAUUUAUCUCCGUGCAUUCAAUUGGAAUCAUGCUUGUUAAAUCUUGACAUCACAUUUAGAUUGUUAAGUGGAAUUUUAAUGAAAUUAAAUAUUAAAUCAGUAAAUAAAUACAACAAAAAAGGAAUUAUUAAAUAAAUAACGUAUAAAAAAAAGAAGAUACUUAGACGCAGGGGCGAAGCUAGAAUUAUUUGUUAGGGGAGGCCAAAAUUAAUAUAAUAAGAUAUAAUAUUUAUUUUAAUUUAUUAUACAUGAGUUGUAAAACAAAACCUAUAUAAUUUAGUUUUAUUCAAAUAACUUACUACAAACAUAUAAUGACAUUUGUAUAAGGUAAAAGGUUUGGAGCAAAACCAAAUUGAGUCAAAGUAAUGAAGUUAAUUUCAUCUUCAUAAAAUAUCCAUCACUUUAAUGUUGUUGGUCUUUAUACAUAUCAAAUAUAAACAUACAAAGUAUAUAAGAAACAUUAGCUAAAACGAAACAUUAUUUAUGUUUGAUAAACUUUGAAAUAAAGCAAAAAAUAAUAAAGAAUGAUUCUUACAUAUUUAUUUUAAUUGUGCUCGUCGUUCUUUCAUAUAAUAGAAAUCAUCGAUUAUCAUAUCAAUUGUGAAUCUUUCAGCAAUUUCUUUUUCUAUAUAGACAAUCAAAUAAUUUGCAAAAAAAUCAUCCUCCAUCCGAUUGCGAAGUCUUGUUUUAACAAUAUUUAUCGCUGAAAAAGCUCGUUCAGUAGGCUGUGAGUUAUCAAUAUUUUUUCUUUUUCUUUUUCGAAAAAAGAAUCAAUUCUUCUUAUUUUAUUCAUGGUUCAACCUAAAAUCAAAACAUAUAUUGUAAGAAAAAAUUGAUAAUUUUGACGGUUCUGCUCAAAACAAAACAUAAAAAAAAUCCAAGCAUAAUCAAAACAAACCAAUAAAAUAUAUCUAAUUAAUUAGAAAAAAAAUCACUAUAACAAGAAUUCAAAAAACAAUUGGUAGAACUAGCAGAUCUGAAAAAAAAAUGAGCAAAAAUGAUAGAAUUAUUAAAAAAACCUCAUCAAAUUAUUAACAACCAUCUCAAAACAAAACAAAAAUAUAUUUUAAAUUUAAGUUACCUUGUUUUGUUUGAUGAAAAAUAAAUUAAUUAGUAGCUCUCCUUCAAUAUUUUUGUAGAAAAAUUUUGCUCGCGAUUUAUGUUUUUGAUUGGGUGCAGGAUUUAUAUUAGGGUAAAUUGAUGGCUUUGUUAUUUAUUUCACAAAGUAAUGCCUUUAUUUUUUUUUUCUUUUCCAUGUAGGUCAAGAGUAAAUUAAAAGAAAAUUAAAAAUAAAAUCACACUUAAUUUAGGAGGCCCACCUCUCUAAAAUAAAAAAUAUAACACUUCCUCAUAUUUAAUUAUCUAAUUACCUAAUACAAAAAAAAAAAAAAGUAUUGCAUGUAUUGCAGGGGGGCCCGGGCCCCUGCUUGCCCCCCCUUGCUUCCGCCCCUGCUUAGAGGGUGGGAGAAAAUUUAAAUUUUUAACGUUCUCUUUUAUCUUCUCUGUGGUAUGGAUGCAAAACGAGAGAUAGCCUACGUAAAAAUAUGUUUGGGAACGUGGUUUUUUUUUAUUAAAAUUUAAUAUGUUUUGUAUGUUUUAGAUCGUUUUGAUGUGGCGAUAUCAAAAAUAAUUUUUAAAAAAUAAAAAAAAAUUAUUUAUAUGCAUUACAGUAAAAAAAUUAUUUAAAAAAUAACAACAAGUUAAUGUUACUGGAGAUAUUUAAUUAAUAGCGUGCACAGAAAGAGAUACUUCGACUCGCAAAGAAAAUCUUAAUUCUUAGCAUUCUCUUUAUCCCUCCUUUAUGCGAACAAAGAUUAGGUUCUACUCAUACGAAAUGACUGCCUUUCAUUUCGUGUUAUUUGAGACAAUUAACAACGGCAGGAGACAUAAUUUUUAAUAAACUUGAGUUAACUUUAUCAAUUUAUUUUUUAAAAAAUAAAUUAAAAAUAAUAUUAUUUUUUAUCGGGUCUUUCUCGAGCUACUCGGGUUGAGAGUUAACCUAGGUUUUUGACCGGAUCACGCCAAGUCGGUUCGGUUCACGGGUCAAGUUAUUGACUUGGGUCGGGUUUUAAAACAAUGAUAAGAGGGUGGCUUGAUAGUUAAAGAAUAUCAUUCUCUUUUCUGACUAAGACGUUGUUUGAAAUUGUGUUCCAAACAAUGAUUUAUGAAAAAUUAAAAUUUUUUAUUUAAAAUUAAUUUUUUUAUAUAUUUUUAAAUCGUUUUGAUAUGUUGAUAUUAAAAAUAUUUUUUUAUAAAUAAAAAAAUAUUAUUUUAAUUUAUUCUCAAGUAAAAAAACACUUUAAAAAUUAAUUUUUACCACACUUUCAAACACCAAUAAAAAAAAUCCACUUAUUGUAUGUUUUCACAACUGUUUUCAUUAGUCUAUUUAUUAUUGUUUUUCUUCAAGCUUGUGAAACGGAGUGUUGUUUUUACAUUUCAAAAGUGUUUUUGAAAAAAAUUAAAUUUUAUUUAUUUAUUUUUGUUUUAAAUUAAUAUUUUUUUGGUAUUUUUAGAUUAUUUUGAUGUGUUGAUAUCAAAAAUAAUUUUUUAAAAAUAAAAAUAAUUAUUAUUUUAAUAUAUUUUUAAAUAAAAAAUAUUUUAAAAUAACCUAAACUAAACUUCCAAACAAUCGUACUGCUGUUAACUGCUUUGCUUUUCUUCUUAGACUUGGAAAGUCACGUGUUAUGAACAAAUGAUUACAUCUUGUGGACUAUAUGGCAGAAGAGAUACAGAAAAUGACUUUUAUUAUCAUUAUUUUGUUCUUAUCGGAAUCAUAUUUAUCAGACGGGUUGGUCCAGUCAAGAAAUUGGAUAUCGAGUUAUACAGUUUGACCUUAAUCAACUUAAAAAAUUUUAAAUUUUUUUUAAUUUUUUAAUAUUUUAUAAAAAAAAAUUUUAAAAAAAUAUAGGUAAAUAUAACUAUAAAUAUUAUAAAUAAUAUAUUUUAAAAAAAUUAUCCCAUGUUAAAAUAAUAUUAUAAUAAUAUAUUAUCUUAUUAAAUUGAAGUAUUUAAAACAAAAAGAUUUUUUAUACCACAUUAAAAGAAAUAAUUUUUUUUGUGAACAUAAAGUACAUAUUAAAAGAUUUUAAAUUUUAUAAUAAAAAAAUAAAAUAUUUUUCUAAUAUUUAUAUAGUGAAAUUUAAAAAUAAUUAAUAAUAAAAAUAUAUAAAAAAGAGUUUCUUCCUAAAAAAAACAUAUUUAAAAAAACAAGAGUUUUAAUCUAAUUUUGUUGGAUUAUUUGGUUACAAGUCAACUAGGUUUUAUCAGGUUGUACUUGUCAUUGAAUGAAAUGAUAUUCCGACAUAGCUUUUAAAUAAAAUCAUGUAUACAACGUGGUUAAAUAAAAUUGAGAGUGAGAACCAUCUAGUUAGUGAUUCAGUGGUAAGAGCUUGGGAUCAAGAGAUAUGUUUUUUCUGUGGUCUUAGGUUCAAGUCCUGUGGUUGCUUAUAUGAUGGCCACUGGAGGCUUACAUGGUCGUUAACUUCAGGGCUCGCGGGAUUAGUCGAGGUACACGCAAGCUGGUCCGAACACCCACGUUAAACUAAAAAAAAAUCGACAGUGAGAAUAAAAAAAAAUAAAAAUAAAAAGUAAGUGGUUGGGUGACGCUGAACGGCUGAAAUUUUUAUAUCUUUUGUGCCAGCUCAAAUGAACAGGAAUUGGAGUCCAACACCAACUCUGGUCUGAAAAAUCGAAUCUCGACAUAAUUUUUUUAUGCCUUUUGUUUUUGUUUUAUUAGCUGUAAAAAAACUUUUUCUGCACUUAAUUUUUUUAAUACGAGCAAAGUCAGCAAACACAAUUUUCCGUGCCAAUAAAUGCUUAAUAACUUUAAUUUCAAUAAUGCAGAAAUGCACCGUCGAGCAUAUAUAAUAUAAUGGCAAUGUUGAGGUAGGUCACACUCCAAAAUCAUGUGACGAGGACCCUCUCUGUAAUUAACGUGUCUGCCAAUUAACUAACUAAAAACAUGAGCAUUCAUAAAAAAAAAAUAUGUAUAUUAACUAGUAUAUUUAAUGGCCCAAUGUAGCUGGUAAAUACUUUUUCAAUAUUUAAAAAAUAUUAAGAACAUAAAAUUUUUUUUAAGCAUGCUUGACAGUGAUGUCAAAUUCAAAAAUCUUGUAUAUGUAACCAUGCUAGAUCAAGUAACUUAAGUCUAAUAGUUAUUUCAAAUUCAAGGUUUUUAGUUUUGUAGCUACAUCAGAAGCUAUAUUAGAUAGGAAUGAUUAUUUUCGGUUCGAUUUAGUUUUUAUAUAAAAAAAAAUAACUAAAUCAAAAUAUUUUUUUUUUUUAAAAAACCAAACUGAAAAUAAUUUUUUUUUCAUUAUAUAAUUUUUUUUUUGUCAGUCUCCUUUUCUAGAAUGAAAAUGUUGAAGUAUUUUCAACAUAUAUUUUACCGUCAACAAAAGGUUUAAUUGUGUCAUCCUUCCUUUUCUCAACAAGGAGCUUUUUGGCUUUUAAUGUAAAAAUAUUUUAUUAUUAUUAUUAUUUUCAUGAGUGAUAAAUAGACAUGAACUGCUGUACACUGAUUCGGCUAUAUAAAUGCAUGGAGAGCUAGCUUUAAUGGCACUGGGCUCUUUUGAACCAUCCCCUGCUCACCACCAGUGGCGGAGCCACGUGGGUGCAAAAGGGGGCAAUUGCCCCCUUCAUUUUUUUUUUUUAAGCAUUUUCUAUAUUAGGAUAUUAAUAUAAUAAUUUGGGGAGGAUUUGAUACACGGAAAGUGGAAAGUUGCUGUUUACUUAUAUUUUAAUAUAAUAUAUAAUAUAUAUUUUCAGUUUAUUUACUUAAACUUUUUCCUUUUUUUUUUGUUUUUUUCACUAAUUAAUAGAGAGUCAUUUUUCCUUUUGAAUUGUUGUCUUCCUCUCUCUUAUGCAAAUUUCUUUUAAAGUUAAGAUAACUAAGUAAUUUCUUUUGCUUUAUACUUUAAAUACAUUUUUUUUUAUCUUUUCUAUUUAUUUCAUUAUCUAAUUUUAGUUUUAUUUUUUUAUAAUUAGUUAUUAAAAAUAUUAGGGUUUAUGAUAAUUUAGGGGUUUUAAUAUGAAUGUGUUCAAAUAUGUUCAAAAUAAAUGUUUGAAUUUACUAAUUUAAUCAAUUAAAUGUUUUUUUUUUAUUAUAAAUGAAUAAAUUAAUGUUCAUGCAAAACACAUCUCUUGUAUUGACAUAAUAGAUUAUUGGAAUUAUUUAACUAAGGUCUCUUAGUUCUAUAAUUAUGGAUUAAUUAUUUAAUUGAGGUCUCUUAAUUUACAAUGUACAUAUAUUAAUUGUCAUUUUAUAUCACAAAUUUAUUUGUAAUUAAUUGUUAACGAAAUGCUUGGAGUUAGGAGAGGGGAUGGGUUUAAAUCCUAUAAGUUACACUUUUUCUCUCUCGGUAUUUUCUCUUAUUUGAAAGUAUAGGAUAGUAUUAAAACUUGUUUCACAUAUUUGACUUAGUGAGUUCAUACAAAUUUUUUGUGUGUCUAGAAAUAAUUUAAAUGUCUAAAAAUGAUUAAGUAUAAUUUAAUCAACAUACUUAUUAUAUACAUAUAGAUAUGAAUUGAAAUAAGUUUUGAUGAAUUGAUGUAUAUUUUGCUAUGAAUAUCAUAUGAAAGAUUUAAAAUUAUUGUGUAACUCAACUAACUUUAUUAUUAUGUAGUUAUGUUAAUUAUUAUGUAGACACUAAUGAUAAUAAAAAAAAUCAGUAGGUUCAUUGAUUAAAUUAACACGUCACUAUACAAGUAUUUCAAGUGUAAAUCCCUUGAGAAUAAAUAGUUAUUCAAAACUUCAAAUCAUGUAACUCAAUCAAGUUAAAAAAAAAAUUAUAUUGAAAAAUCAUAAUAUUUAUUAGUAAUUUGCCCCGUCAUCAAAAAAAUUCUGGACCCGCCACUGCUCACCACACCAUUUUCCCUUCGUUAUCUUCAUGGAGACGACCACAAUCUCUUCAAACGGAGAAAGCGAGGUAAAAGAUGAGAUUCAAGGCUUGAUUACAAGCUUUCCUAGUGAGAGAAACUGGGAUGGAUCUCCCCUUAAUUUAUUUCUAUAAAGGGGUCUGGUAUCCAGUUUUCGCCAUUAGAGGGGCUCUUUCCUUUCGACAACAUUUCAUUGCACAGGACACAGAUAUAAUACUAGCGAGCAUGCCAAAAUCAGGCACCACCUGGCUAAAAGCUCUCACGUUCUCUGUGGUAAACCGCAACAUUUACAGUCCCAAAGAGAGUCCCUUACUCCCUACCCCACCCCAUGAACUCGUUCGUUUCUUUGAGAUAGACCUUUACUAAAAAAAACAGCUCCCAGAUCUCAAACAACUUCCUUCCCCAAGGAUUGGCAGUUCUCACUCCCAUUAUGAAACCUUGCCACAGUCCAUUAGAGAUUCUGGUUGCAAGAUUGUUUACAUAUGCAGGAAUCCUUUGGAUCAACUUGUCUCUUAUUUUCAUUUUGCUCGCAUGCAAGUUCAAACAAGAGAAUGUCAAGCCUUUAUCAUCGAUUGAUGAAGGUUUCGACAACGUUUGUCUUGGUAUCCUGAGUCAUGGACCCUUUUGGGAUAAUGUGUUGGGGUAUUGGAAGGCAAGCUUAGAGAGACCAGACAAGGUGUUGUUUUUAAAAUAUGAAGACUUGAAGGAGGAUAUAAUCUCUAACUUGAAGAAAAUCGCUGCGUUCUUGGGAAUUCCUUUCACCGACAAAGAAGAAAAGGAAGGGGUUAUUGAAGAAAUAUCAAGGCUGUGCAGCUUAGACAAUCUCAGGAAUUUGGAAGUGAACAAAAAUGGUGUUCGUACUUCUGGGCUUCCAAACAGUUCCUUCUUCAGGAAAGGAGAGGUGGGUGAUUGGGAAAAUUAUCUGAUUCCUUCCAUGGCUGAGAAUUACCUGAAGAUCGUGGAAGAGAAGUUGAGUGGAUCUGGUUUAACCUUCAGAACAUCUCAAUAAAGUGCAAAUCUAUGGGAUGCGUUCUCAAUAAUUCCCUAGUGUUUUUGUGAGCGUGGAUAUCUAUUAUUGUUCAGUUUUUUACGAGGUUUUUUCUAAUAAUAACAAAAAAGGCUUUGUUUUUAUUAUCACUCCCGACCAGAAGUUUCUAGUAAGAAGAUGAUAAAAGAUUGGUCUUUGCUGUGUCUCUUUUGUUCUUGUACUAAGGAAAAUCUUGAAGGAUAUUUUGGUGUUUGUGUAUUUUUAACAGAGCAGGUACAAAAAAAGGCGGGAG